RNAcentral lists this small nuclear RNA (103 nucleotides) under Castor canadensis (American beaver). Lineage: Eukaryota; Metazoa; Chordata; Mammalia; Rodentia; Castoridae. The record is from RNAcentral.
AUGUUCACUUAAGCAGCACAUAUACUGAAAUUGGAAAGGUACAAAGAUUAACAUGGCCACACACAAGGAUGACAUGCAACUUCUUGAUGCAUUACCUAUUUUU